GACGAACGCUGGCGGCGUGCUUAACACAUGCAAGUCGAACGGAAAGGCCCCUUUGGGGGUCCUCGAGUGGCGAACGGGUGAGUAACACGUGAGUAACCUGCCCUUGACUUCGGGAUAACUUCAGGAAACUGGGGCUAAUACCGGAUAGGAAUCCUUGCUGCAUGGUGGGGGUUGGAAAGCUUCGGCGGUUUUGGAUGGACUCGCGGCUUAUCAGCUUGUUGGUGGGGUAGUGGCUUACCAAGGCUUUGACGGGUAGCCGGCCUGAGAGGGCGACCGGCCACAUUGGGACUGAGAUACGGCCCAGACUCCUACGGGGGGCAGCGGUGGGGAAUAUUGCACAAUGGGCGGAAGCCUGAUGCAGCAACGCCGCGUGCGGGAUGACGGCCUUCGGGUUGUAAACCGCUUUCAGCAGGGGCGAAGCUUGUGGUGACGGUACCUGCAGAAGAAGCACCGGCUAACUACGUG
This 465-nucleotide ribosomal RNA is filed under the name uncultured bacterium. RNAcentral's name for it is "partial 16S ribosomal RNA". It matches the Rfam family "Bacterial small subunit ribosomal RNA", at positions 28 to 507 of the family's 1533-position model. The record is from RNAcentral.